RNAcentral lists this ribosomal RNA (375 nucleotides) under uncultured organism. RNAcentral describes it as "bacterial SSU rRNA". It matches the Rfam family "Archaeal small subunit ribosomal RNA", at positions 476 to 851 of the family's 1478-position model. The record is from RNAcentral.
CCAGCACCCCGAGUGGUCGGGACGAUUAUUGGGCCUAAAGCAUCCGUAGCCGGCCUUACAAGUCCCCCGUUAAAUCCAGCUGCUUAACAGAUGGGCUGCGGAGGAUACUAUAAGACUAGGAGGCAGGAGAGGCAAGCGGUACUCAGUGGGUAGGGGUAAAAUCCGUUGAUCCAUUGAAGACCACCAGUGGCGAAGGCGGCUUGCCAGAAUGCGCUCGACGGUGAGGGAUGAAAGCUGGGGGAGCAAACCGGAUUAGAUACCCGGGUAGUCCCAGCUGUAAACGAUGCAGACUCGGUGAUGGACUAGCUUUAUGCUGGUCCAGUGCCGCAGGGAAGCCGUUAAGUCUGCCGCCUGGGUAGUACGGUCGCAAGACUG